AAUAAUGAGUCGAAUAUCUUGAGAGGGGAGAAGCGGAGAGAAAGGUAUGGUGUGAGACUGUGAGAGAGCGGCAAAAGGAGAGAUCGGAUCCGAGAUGAGUAUUCAUAACCCAACUGUGUCGAUCUGUGGGAAUGAAUCUUUAACAAGAUCGGGAUCUCAUGCCUAUUCACGCUGCCGCUUUCAUCAACAUUGUGGGAAGGAAGACAGCAACAUAAUCUAGUGCCCACUUACCUUAUACCCAAUCUCGCCCUUCUCUUGCUUUCAUUGUAGCAGUGCUCCUCGACCUCUUUGAUAGGUCCACUCUGUAUUUCAAGGCCACCCCAUACCUACCGAGGUGGCUGUUGCUAGCUUUAGCAUUUGUCUUGGCAUUCGGAAUUGAGUUAAUCUUCUAUACUUAUCAUCUCUCCUAUUUGUGCUGCCCUCGUCCCCACUACCAUGGUGUUAUCCGUCUCACGGGGCUUCUAUUCUAACAGGUAGGCGACAAUGGCACAUGAGAAGGCCCCUCUAUUUUUAUCCCCUAACCAUCAUGGCUACAUUUCACAGGUUCCUCCUGAUCUCCAAAAUGUUUGCAUAUCUAUUUUCCUUAUUCGUUUCCAUGAUUGGCUCAGUUAGAUUAAUAAGUAGAUAUGGAAUUCUAACAGAGUCUCCUCGGCUUCAAUGUUACCAUUGUGAUCUAGAGGGAAAGAGUGUGCAACCUAUUGUAUGCAUACAGUCGAAGAAAAGACAGAAAGUAAGACAAAAAUACCACAAAAAGAUUGGGACCAAGAUCUUAACUACAAGGGUGUCUUUCUCUAGCCGAAUCUGAGGAGUUCCCUUUCAUGCAAGGCUUUGGAUUUUUACCUAACAAAAACUUCAUAGAGAAAUAGAAAAAUUAGUUUAAUUUAAAUAUGAAAACUGUAAGUGCUUCAAGUGGAUUAGCCAUUCAGGAUUCUAGUUUGGUUCUUUGAAAAUCUCCCUUGGAUCAAUUACUUAUUCAAAGGUUGUAGAUGGACAAAAUUUAAACAAUUGAGUUUUCUUUUUCUUUUUAAUUAUGGAUAUCUUGGUUAAUUUUUUUCUAAUAAAAGAUGAAGGGUGUUAGAAAAUGUCAUUUUUUUAGCUUAGUCUUUUAUGCUCUAUUUGUAAUUUAUCUAACAUCCGGUUCAAUAUCCAUGUUAAGAACUGAGGAUCUACAGUUUGGUAUAUAUCCAUCCGAUCAAAUCAAAGUUCAAUCAAUCAUCAUAAAAAAUUCUUUGAAAAUAUUUGAGUUGAAUCACAACUGUUGGAUUGAUUUAUAGUUCAACUUUUUAAGCCUAAAUUUCCAAAUUGAGGUUUGAGGAAAUAAAGUAGUUGUUAAGACACUCUUUGUGCUCCUCCUUCUUGGCAAAUUGCCAAUGUUUGUUUCCCCAGAAAAUCUACUCAUUUUGAGUUGAAAAACAUGUUUUAAUUUAGUUUUCUUUCAAAAUUAGGGUUGAUUAAUCUUGUCAUACCAUUCUUUCCUUAUUGUUGUCUUGUGAUCGGGAUAAAACCCUUUUCUUCUUGAUUGGGCAUCAAGAAGCCGCUAAGGUCAAGUUUGGCGAUAACUCGAAGUCUAUUCUUGAUGAAGAGAGUGUAUAGUUGAAGUUUGAAGGUACUAGCUAAGUUCUUAGAAGAGGAUUGGUAGAUUUGAAUUUGGUAAAACCUUGUAUUAAAUUAUUUUGCUUCAUAAUGGAAUUUUUCAGAGAUCUUCCACAUGAAAUUUGUGUCGUUCCCCCUCCCCCUCCUAUUUCUUCCUUUGGUUAUCUUUAUUAUCUAUGAUUGUGAAUUUUAAACUGUCAUAAUGGUUUGCAUUAUUGAUGACAUUGGUAGAAUUUUUAUCAAUUGCACCUAAAAAAGUGUUGAAAUUUCUUCUCAUGUUCCAUUGUUGCAUUUUUGUGAAUAGUCUGUUUGGACUAUCAUAUGCAAAUUGCCGAGUGAAAGCAGAGGUGUAGGUGACAUAUGCAUAGAAGGGGCUGUGGUCAUGUAUCCAGGAACAAUAGUGAUGCCAAGAAAGCCAGUAAGAGGGAGCGGUACGGAGGAGAGCAGCAGAAUAAGAAUGGAAAGUGAACUCAAGUCGAGAUGGCAAGACAAAUAGUAGUAGGGUAGCAGCAGCCACCUUGGUGGUUAUGGGGUGGGCUUGAAAUGCAGAGCUUGGCUUAUUCUGGAACUGUAACUCGAUGAGGUCGAGAAGCAUGUGAAGAAUAAGGGUAAAGAAGGUUGAGAAUGGCACGUAAUGCAGUAGAAGUAUGAUUAUGUUGUUGUAAUGUUGGUGGGGGAAUUAUGUCGCUGUAAUGUUGUUGGAGGUUAACUCCCACAGUAUUCAGAGUAGCAGAGUGAAUAGCCUGGUAGUGUUCUGGAUACUAAUUUGAGUUUAAGACCAAAAUAGUGUUUUUGAAGAAAAAAAUAAUGAAAAUCGAUCUUCUUCCAAAAUAUU
Vitis riparia (riverbank grape) is the source of this 2428-nucleotide long non-coding RNA. RefSeq lists it as uncharacterized. The transcript has 2 exons. The record is from RefSeq and is a predicted model, not a curated record. NCBI's taxonomy places the organism in Eukaryota, Viridiplantae, Streptophyta, Magnoliopsida, Vitales, Vitaceae.